CUCCCAGUCUUUCCCAGUCACUCCCAGUCACUCUGCAAGUGCCAUCCCAGUCACUCCCAGUGCUUCCCAAUCACUCUGAGUGCUCCCCCAGUGCGUCCCAGUCCCUCCCAGUCAAUCCCCGCACACGCCCAGGGCCCACCCGGCAGUUCUCCCCAGUUCCCAGUUCCCUCCCAGUCCUCCCCAGUCCCUCCCAGUGUCCCCCCAGCCCCUCCCAGUCCCUCCCAGUCCCUCCCAGUGUCCCCAACAAGGUCCCUUUGUCCCGGUCCCGCCGGUGCCUGUCACGGUGGGGGGGGGGGGCGGGGGCACCCCACGUGUCCCCCCCGGUACCCGCCCCUCCCCCAGCCUCACAGGGACCCCCAGAGGCCUUCCCGGGGUCCCCAGAACCCCCUGGGACCCCCCGGGACCCCCAGAACCCCCUGGGACCCUCCCCAGACCCCCCCCGGAACCUCCAGAAGGCCCCGGACCUCCGAAGACCCCACCGGACCCCCCGGACCCCCCCCCCCGGGGCAGCCGGAGCCGCCGGGGGUCUUCGACCUGGGGGUGCUGAGAACCCCCCGGGGGCUGCUGCUGGCAGGGGAACUGGACCUGCUCCGGGCCAUCAGUGGGACCCUCAUCUUCCUCGUGGUGGCCCUGGUGGCCUUGGCCUCGUCACGUGACGCCCUGGCUGCCACCACCUUCACCUUCAGCCUCGUCCUCGCCUUGGUCUUCGCCUUCGACACCUUCGUCACCUUCCGCACGCGGGUGGCCCCGGCCCUGGGACAGGGUGAGGGGACACCUGGGGCACCCUGGGGUGGGCUUGGGGGACACCUGGGGCACCCUGGGGUGGGAUUAGGGACACCUGGGACACCUGGGACAUCCUUCGGUGGGGUUGGGGACACCUGGGAAACAUCUGGGUUGUCCAUGGGUGGGCUUGGGGGACACCUGGGACACCCUGGGUUGGGGUUGGGGACACCUGGGACAUCCUUCGGUGGGGUUGGGGAACACCUGGAGCACCCUGGG
RNAcentral lists this long non-coding RNA (999 nucleotides) under Taeniopygia guttata (zebra finch). RNAcentral describes it as "lncRNA (ENSTGUG00000024650.1)". The record is from RNAcentral. Lineage: Eukaryota; Metazoa; Chordata; Aves; Passeriformes; Estrildidae.